GACGAACGCUGGCGGCGUGCCUAAUACAUGCAAGUAGAACGCUGAAGGAGGAGCUUGCUCUUCUGGAUGAGUUGCGAACGGGUGAGUAACGCGUAGGUAACCUGCCUGGUAGCGGGGGAUAACUCUUGGAAACGCUAGCUAAUACCGCAUAAGAGUAGAUGUUGCAUGACAUUUGCUUAAAAGGUGCAAUUGCAUCACUACCAGAUGGACCUGCGUUGUAUUAGCUAGUUGGUGGGGUAACGGCUCACCAAGGCGACGAUACAUAGCCGACCUGAGAGGGUGAUCGGCCACACUGGGACUGAGACACGGCCCAGACUCCUACGGGAGGCAGCAGUAGGGAAUCUUCGGCAAUGGACGGAAGUCUGACCGAGCAACGCCGCGUGAGUGAAGAAGGUUUUCGGAUCGUAAAGCUCGGUUGUAAGAGAAGAACGAGUGUGAGAGUGGAAAGUUCACACUGUGACGGUAUCUUACCAGAAAGGGACGGCUAACUACGUG
This 495-nucleotide ribosomal RNA is filed under the name uncultured bacterium. RNAcentral's name for it is "partial 16S ribosomal RNA". It matches the Rfam family "Bacterial small subunit ribosomal RNA", at positions 28 to 507 of the family's 1533-position model. The record is from RNAcentral.